GAUGAACGCUAGCGGCAGGCUUAAUACAUGCAAGUCAAGGGGUAGCAAUACAACCGGCGCACGGGUGAGUAACGCGUACACAACAUACCAUAUACUGGAGUAUAGCUUUGGGAAACUGAAGGUAAUCCUCCAUAACAUUGCGAGAGGGCAUCUGAUUGCAAUUAAAGUUUCGGCGGUAUAUGAUUGGUGUGCGUUUGAUUAGCUAGUUGGUAGGGUAACGGCCUACCAAGGCGACGAUCAAUAGCUGGCGUGAGAGCGCGACCAGCCACACUGGAACUGAGACACGGUCCAGACUCCUACGGGAGGCAGCAGUAGGGAAUAUUGGACAAUGGAGGAAACUCUGAUCCAGCCAUGCCGCGUGAUAGAUGAAGGCCCUCUGGGUUGUAAAUAUCUUUUAUCUGGGAAGAAACACUCCUAUUCUUAGGAACUUGACGGUACCAGAGGAAUAAGCACCGGCUAACUCCGUGCCAGCAGCCGCGGUUAAAGU
RNAcentral lists this ribosomal RNA (487 nucleotides) under uncultured bacterium. RNAcentral's name for it is "bacterial SSU rRNA". It matches the Rfam family "Bacterial small subunit ribosomal RNA", at positions 28 to 526 of the family's 1533-position model. The record is from RNAcentral.